GCUGGGCACAGUAGUGCAUGCCUGUAAUCCCUGUGGCUCGGGAGGCUGAGACAGGAGGAUUGGGAGUUCAAAGCCAGCUCAGCAAAAAGCAUCUCAGUGAGACCCUGUCUCUA
This 113-nucleotide small RNA is filed under the name Marmota monax (woodchuck). The record is from RNAcentral. Lineage: Eukaryota; Metazoa; Chordata; Mammalia; Rodentia; Sciuridae.